AGAGUUUGAUCCUGGCUCAGGAUGAACGCUAGCGGCAGGCCUAAUACAUGCAAGUCGAACGGUAAAUGUAUAGCAAUAUAUAUGAGAGUGACGUACGGGUGCGUAACACGUAUGCAACCUACCCUUUACAGGCGGAUAGCUCGGGGAAACUCGGAUUAACCCGUCAUAAUAUAAUUGAAUGGCAUCAUUUGGUUAUUAAAUCUACGGAGGUAAAGGAUGGGCAUGCGUCUGAUUAGUUAGUUGGCGGGGUAACGGCCCACCAAGACGAUGAUCAGUAGGGGAACUGGGAGGUUGAUCCCCCACACUGGCACUGAGAUACGGGCCAGACUCCUACGGGAGGCAGCAGUAGGGAAUAUUGGUCAAUGGAUGGAAGUCUGAACCAGCCAUGCCGCGUGCAGGAAGAAGGCCUUCUGGGUUGUAAACUGCUUUUGCCGGGGGAUAAAAGAUCCAUGCGUGGAGAAUUGAAGGUACCCGGUGAAUAAGCCACGGCUAACUACGUGCCAGCAGCCGCGGUAAUACGUAGGUGGCAAGCGUUGUCCGGAUUUAUUGGGUUUAAAGGGUGCGUAGGCGGUCCUGUAAGUCAGUGGUGAAAUACGGCAGCUCAACUGUCGAGGUGCCAUUGAUACUGCGGGACUUGAGUACAGACGAGGUAGGCGGAAUUGACGGUGUAGCGGUGAAAUGCUUAGAUAUCGUCAAGAACACCGAUAGCGAAGGCAGCUUACUAGACUGUAACUGACGCUGAGGCACGAAGGUGCGGGGAUCAAACAGGAUUAGAUACCCUGGUAGUCC
Molecule: ribosomal RNA, 789 nt
Filed under: uncultured prokaryote
Description: bacterial SSU rRNA
Rfam family: Bacterial small subunit ribosomal RNA
Source: RNAcentral